GCUACGGGAGGCAGCAGUAGGGAAUUUUGCGCAAUGGGGGAAACCCUGACGCAGCAACACCGCGUGAAUGUUAAGCCCUUCGGGGUGUAAAGUUCUGUCAAUAGGGACGAUUUUUGACUGUACAUAUAAAGGAAGCACCGGCUAACUCCGUGACAGCAGCCGCGGGAAUACGGGGGGUGCAAGCGUUGUCCGGAAUCAUUGGGCGUAACGCGUUCGUAGGCGGUAUGUCAAGUCUGAUUUUAAAGCCCGGGGCUCAACUCCGGUUCGGCAUUGGAUAUUGGCAAACUAGAGUGUGGUAGAGGUACAGUGAAUUCCUGGUGUAGCGGUGAAAUGCGUAGAUAUCAGGAGGAACAUCAGUGGCGAAAGCGCUUUACUGGACCAUUAUUGACGCUGAGGAACGAAAGCCAGGGGAGCAAAUGGGAUUAGAUACCCCAGUAGUC
RNAcentral lists this ribosomal RNA (440 nucleotides) under uncultured bacterium. RNAcentral describes it as "partial 16S ribosomal RNA". It matches the Rfam family "Bacterial small subunit ribosomal RNA", at positions 338 to 795 of the family's 1533-position model. The record is from RNAcentral.